Molecule: long non-coding RNA, 464 nt
Filed under: Chloebia gouldiae (Gouldian finch)
Lineage: Eukaryota; Metazoa; Chordata; Aves; Passeriformes; Passeridae
Description: Erythrura gouldiae (Gouldian finch) lncRNA (ENSEGOG00005002589.1)
Source: RNAcentral
CCAAGCCUUCAUGACCAUGAACAAAAUGAGGUUCUGGGUGGAGACUGAAAAGAUCCUUUCAGCUUAAAAGAGAUUCAUUAUGAAUAAGUAUACUGGGCAAUUUAAUUUUGAUUUAACCCAACUGAGUAAACUGCUCAUCUCACCUAGCAGCAUGGACCACAGUUCAAAUGCUUAGUUACUGUCAUAACUUGCUUACAAGUUCAAAUAGCUUCCCAGGCAAAUAAAACUGCAAAUGGUCAUUCAUUUCAUAGUUGACAGCAGGAGCCCAGAGUUUUAUUACAACAGCCCCUCUCAGAGGCCUUGGGUGAGCACAUGGACCUGCACCUCUGCUGAGACACCAAACUGGCUUUGUUUGGUGCUUCUCCCAGGGAAACAGAGGGAAUAUUGUCCUGGAUUGAUUUAAUUGCUAGUCCAUGCAAAGCUGAAAAUCUUACAGAGCAAGCAGGAAUAACAUCAUUGUCCUC